Molecule: long non-coding RNA, 224 nt
Filed under: Mytilus galloprovincialis (Mediterranean mussel)
Lineage: Eukaryota; Metazoa; Mollusca; Bivalvia; Mytilida; Mytilidae
Source: RNAcentral
GUCAAACCAUAACAAAAAAUCAAGUAAAGAAUUUUAAGUAUUCAACCUUUAUAGCUUGCUGUUCGGUGUGAGCCAAGACUCCGUGUUGAAGGCCAUUUUUAUUUAUUUUCAAAUUACAAAGGUUAUUCCUGAUUAGUAUUUUUAAUUAUUUUAUUUAGGCGUUUAGAACCUUUGGUGACCUCACAGUUUAAAUUUCUAUGAUAAGUACGUCGUGAGUAGUGGGC